AUCUUCGGGGCAGGGUGCAAGUCCCUACCGGCGGUAACGUCUUCGGACGAAGCCCGCGACUCCCGCACAUGCAGGGACUGAUCUGGUGCAAUUCCAGGGCCGACGGUGAAAGUCCGGAUGGUAGAAGAU
This 129-nucleotide non-coding RNA is filed under the name Gorillibacterium timonense. Its description in RNAcentral is "FMN riboswitch (RFN element)". It matches the Rfam family "FMN riboswitch aptamer (RFN element)". From Rfam's summary of the family: The RFN element is a highly conserved domain that is found frequently in the 5'-untranslated regions of prokaryotic mRNAs that encode for flavin mononucleotide (FMN) biosynthesis and transport proteins. This element is a metabolite-dependent riboswitch that directly binds FMN in the absence of proteins. The record is from RNAcentral. Lineage: Bacteria; Bacillati; Bacillota; Bacilli; Caryophanales; Paenibacillaceae.